Molecule: unclassified non-coding RNA, 176 nt
Filed under: fungal sp.
Lineage: Eukaryota; Fungi
Description: partial internal transcribed spacer region
Rfam family: Eukaryotic small subunit ribosomal RNA (bases 1-46)
Source: RNAcentral
AAGUCGUAACAAGGUUUCCGUAGGUGAACCUGCGGAAGGAUCAUUAUCGAACAAAAAAAAAUGUUUAUUUCCUUUCCCCCCUUUUUUUUUUCCCAUCAAACAAAACCUGUCAUCGCAUGGUCAUUGACAAAUGUUAAAUAUAAAUAUAACUUUCAACAACGGAUCUCUUGGCUCUC